Molecule: long non-coding RNA, 345 nt
Filed under: Eutrema salsugineum
Lineage: Eukaryota; Viridiplantae; Streptophyta; Magnoliopsida; Brassicales; Brassicaceae
Description: long non-coding RNA (ESAL_LNC002026)
Source: RNAcentral
GGCUUUGACGUUGUAAUUAAUAUUAGUAAGCUAACACGGACGAUGAUUAGUGUGCUAACGUACGCUUCCUCACUCUCUCCCCACGAGCGAUCGGCACCGUUUGUUUCGUGUUACGUAGGAUCUACGCGUUUUUUACCUUGUGAAUCCUAUAAUAGAUUAUCAAUGAGAACCAAAAAAAAAAACAUAUAUAUAUCUACUUUCGUUCUUUUGAUUAUAUAGAGCUGUUUUAAAAUUUACCGAUUUUCAGUGAAAAUGUCAAAGUAACCAAGAAACAAAUCUAAUAUGAAUAUGUUUGGAACAGUUUCAUUUUAUAGGGUUUCUUACAAUUAGUUAUUCUCAAGUUCA